UACGUAGGGUGCGAGCGUUGUCCGGAAUUACUGGGCGUAAAGAGCUCGUAGGUGGUUUGUCGCGUUGUCCGUGAAAACUCACAACUCAAUUGUGGGCGUGCGGGCGAUACGGGCAGACUGGAGUACUGCAGGGGAGACUGGAAUUCCUGGUGUAGCGGUGGAAUGCGCGGAUGUCAGGAGGAACACCGGUGGCGAAGGCGGGUCUCUGGGCAGUAACUGACGCUGAGGAACGAAAGCGUGGGGAGCGAACAGG
This 253-nucleotide ribosomal RNA is filed under the name uncultured bacterium. Its description in RNAcentral is "partial 16S ribosomal RNA". It matches the Rfam family "Bacterial small subunit ribosomal RNA", at positions 524 to 776 of the family's 1533-position model. The record is from RNAcentral.